UUGAACGCUGGCGGCAGGCCUAACCCAUGCAAGUCGAGCGGAUGAAGGGAGCUUGCUCCUGGAUUCAGCGGCGGACGGGUGAGUAAUGCCUAGGAAUCUGCCUGGUAGUGGGGGAUAACGUCCGGAAACGGGCGCUAAUACCGCAUACGUCCUGAGGGAGAAAGUGGGGGAUCUUCGGACCUCACGCUAUCAGAUGAGCCUAGGUCGGAUUAGCUAGUUGGUGGGGUAAAGGCCUACCAAGGCGACGAUCCGUAACUGGUCUGAGAGGAUGAUCAGUCACACUGGAACUGAGACACGGUCCAGACUCCUACGGGAGGCAGCAGUGGGGAAUAUUGGACAAUGGGCGAAAGCCUGAUCCAGCCAUGCCGCGUGUGUGAAGAAGGUCUUCGGAUUGUAAAGCACUUUAAGUUGGGAGGAAGGGCAGUAAGUUAAUACCUUGCUGUUUUGACGUUACCAACAGAGUAAGCACCGGCUAACUUCGUG
This 483-nucleotide ribosomal RNA is filed under the name uncultured bacterium. Its description in RNAcentral is "partial 16S ribosomal RNA". It matches the Rfam family "Bacterial small subunit ribosomal RNA", at positions 30 to 507 of the family's 1533-position model. The record is from RNAcentral.